Molecule: ribosomal RNA, 255 nt
Filed under: Listeria monocytogenes
Lineage: Bacteria; Bacillati; Bacillota; Bacilli; Caryophanales; Listeriaceae
Description: partial 23S ribosomal RNA
Rfam family: Bacterial large subunit ribosomal RNA
Source: RNAcentral
GAAAAGCCUCUAGGAAGAGUAGUACUGCCCGUACCGCAAACCGACACAGGUAGAUGAGGAGAGAAUCCUAAGGUGAGCGAGAGAACUCUCGUUAAGGAACUCGGCAAAAUGACCCCGUAACUUCGGGGGAAGGGGUGCUCUAUUAGGGUGCAAGCCCGAGAGAGCCGCAGUGAAUAGGCCCAGGCGACUGUUUAGCAAAAACACAGGUCUCUGCAAAACCGUAAGGUGACGUAUAGGGGCUGACGCCUGCCCGGU